AGUGAACGCUGGCGGUAGGCCUAACACAUGCAAGUCGAACGGCAGCACAGUAAGAGCUUGCUCUUACGGGUGGCGAGUGGCGGACGGAUGAGGAAUACAUCGGAAUCUACUUUUUCGUGGGGGAUAACGUAGGGAAACUUACGCUAAUACCGCAUACGACCUACGGGUGAAAGCAGGGGAUCUUCGGACCUUGCGCGAUUGAAUGAGCCGAUGUCGGAUUAGCUAGUUGGCGGGGUAAAGGCCCACCAAGGCGACGAUCCGUAGCUGGUCUGAGAGGAUGAUCAGCCACACUGGAACUGAGACACGGUCCAGACUCCUACGGGAGGCAGCAGUGGGGAAUAUUGGACAGUGGGCGCAAGCCUGAUCCAGCCAUACCGCGUGGGUGAAGAAGGCCUUCGGGUUGUAAAGCCCUUUUGUUGGGAAAGAAAAGCAGCAGGUUAAUACCCCGCUGUUCUGACGGUACCCAAAGAAUAAGCACCGGCUAACUUCGUG
RNAcentral lists this ribosomal RNA (492 nucleotides) under uncultured bacterium. RNAcentral describes it as "partial 16S ribosomal RNA". It matches the Rfam family "Bacterial small subunit ribosomal RNA", at positions 29 to 507 of the family's 1533-position model. The record is from RNAcentral.